UAUGGUGUGUGCCAGCCGCCGCGGUAAUACGUAUGGUGCAAGCGUUAUCCGGAUUUACUGGGUGUAAAGGGAGCGCAGGCGGUGCGGCAAGUCUGAUGUGAAAGCCCGGGGCUCAACCCCGGUACUGCAUUGGAAACUGUCGUACUAGAGUGUCGGAGGGGUAAGCGGAAUUCCUAGUGUAGCGGUGAAAUGCGUAGAUAUUAGGAGGAACACCAGUGGCGAAGGCGGCUUACUGGACGAUAACUGACGCUGAGGCUCGAAAGCGUGGGGAGCAAACAGG
RNAcentral lists this ribosomal RNA (280 nucleotides) under Roseburia faecis M72/1. Its description in RNAcentral is "partial 16S ribosomal RNA". It matches the Rfam family "Bacterial small subunit ribosomal RNA", at positions 497 to 776 of the family's 1533-position model. Lineage: Bacteria; Bacillati; Bacillota; Clostridia; Lachnospirales; Lachnospiraceae. The record is from RNAcentral.